CAUCCACGUGUGUCAUUGACGUCAUAGAGAACACUGCCUCGGCCCUUGGAAGCUUCACGCAACUCCGGCGCGCGCGCACGCACGCACACACACACAUAUAUAUAUAUAUGCAUGGAUGUAUGUGCAUUGAUACACACACAUACAUGCACACACAAAGCAAACAGUGACAUAGACGUAAAUCUACGCCGUUGUUCUUGUUGACUGCACGCACACAAACACACAGACAAUAUACAUACACACGAACGCUCGCUUGCAUCGUUUACCUUUUUUUUGUAAGGGGCAGCGUUAUCAUCCAUAUCUACACCGAUUCGUUUUUUUUUUCGUGCCUGUGUGUCCUGGCGUGGGCAAUGAGCAGCACGACGGAUUGGGCCCGCUUCCUCGCCGCGCUGGAGAAGCGAGGGGUUCGGUUUGAUCAGGUGCAGUACGCCACUGACCGCCAGGAGGUCAUUCGUGCGACCGGCAUUACAGAUGCCCUGAGCAUCGCGGUAGUGGAGACGGUGUGGCAGCGCCACUGCAACAGCGGAAGAGAUGCCUCGGACUCGAUACCACUGGACCACCAAGGCGCUUCCGCCAGUAAUCCCACACCCACUCGCACUCUGGCACCGCUUCUGUCUCAACCAGCACCCGAUGAGAGAGGGCCGGCUACGUCUGCCAGAGCCUCGAACGGCGGUGUGGCUGGUCUGCCGGCUCUCCACGAGCUCUCCCAGUUGACAAGGCUGCCAGAGGAGUUGCAGGACACCGUGUUGGCGACAGAAGUGCUGGCGGCAGCAGUCGGGCUUGGGGGCGUCUUCCUCCAGUACAAGCCAGCGGCACCCGGCACCUCGAGCGGCAUCAGCCCCAAAGAGGGCUUUCAGGUCUCGCCGCUGGUGCCUGCGUCCAUGCGGAGCCUGUGCGAAACUGUCCUGCCUGUCGCCGACGCCUUCAUGGCACUUCGCUGCAUCGAAAAGGCCGAAUACUCCAGUUGUAGUCUUGUGCUCAUGGCACUCGGCGAGGUGGUUUCCGAGAUCAACACGAGCUACGCUCACCAGGUGUCCAAGCUGCAGCUCUGGAGUGAGGGGCGGCCGAUGCCGCUGAUGGGUGUGGUGUCGGAGAUUCUCCGUGUCGGGCAUCACGUGGUACGACUGCGGCAAGUGCUGCCAAUGGAUCUGAUUUGCUCAGCACUCGCUGAGGCGGCGGCGGCGGCUCCGACAUCGUCGACUUUCGCCUCUCCCUCUACCGGGCUCGUGGGCCCUCGCAUCUUGAAUCACCUGUGUGACCAAGUGAACAAGUACUCCGGAAGCUGCGAGGAUCACGAGCUGCUGACGCUGCUGCUCCGCCGCUCGCUUGUCCCGUAUCUGCGCAUGCUGCAGCGCUGGAUGCACAGCGGCGUGCUAGACGACCCGUACGGUGAGUUCUUCAUAUCGGAGGUUUACCACCCAGCGCGGCCGUCCCCGACGGCUGCGAGUCAUCAGCAGCAGCGACACGUUGGCCAGUUCUUUUUGGAUGCGCUGGCGCCGUCGGCGACAGGCGCCGGGCGCGAAGGUGAGCUUGGAGCAAGCGGCUCCAGCACGGCUUCUCAGGGCCGAUUCGGCUUGAAAAGACGUGCGACUGCGCAGCAGGACGUGGUGGCCUUUGACCGGCGCUUCUCCCUCAACAAGAGCCUCGUGCCAGUGUUCCUCAACACACCGAGUCGCAUAGCCAAAAUGGUUUUUUUCGCUGGUAAGUACUGCUGUCUCUUGCGAGAGUACGGCGCGGCACUCCCAGCGUUUCGCACCGCAGCCGUGUGUGGCGGUGCUGGCGCUGCUUCUGCUGCUGCAGGAUCCAGGCCCGACGGUCCGGACGACGCCCUCUUGACUUGGAGCGGUGCGGACCAGCUUCAACGUCAGGUGCAGGAGUCCUUCGAGAUCUCCAGCGGGGCCGUGAUCCAGCUGCUGUUUAGCCCGUCCGUCGACUUACUCGGGCACCUCAAGUCUCUGAAGCUGUACUUUCUCCAAGAGCGCGGUGACUGGGUGGUGGACUUCCUCGACAGCGCCGAAAGCCUCCUCGCUGAGCAUCCGGAUCGCGUCAAACAACACUCGAUGCAGGUGCUGCUGCAGGCGGCCGUGGCCCGCAGCUGCUCCAGCGAUCCGUACCAUGACUUGAUCGGGUGCAGCUUUGCGAACUGCACGUUGGAGGAGCUGCUGCAAGAACAGAAUCGGCAGCGCGACAGCGGCGGCGACACGUUGACUGCGGCCGUCGGCGAGGGUGCGACGACGGCGCUGCCGUCCCGUCGGAGCAUGGGCGGUAACGGUGGCGAAGUCGACGCGCGGCGCAGUCUGGAGCUGCUUCAGCUCGAGACGGACCUGCAGUGGCCCUUGACGUUGGUGCUCGAUGGAAAGGUGACGCAUCGUCUCAAUGUCAUCUUUCGGCUACUGGUGUGGGUGAAGACCUGCGAGCGGCACCUGUGCGAGCUGUGGUAUACAAACGAAAUCCUUGGCGAGUUCAGUGCUGCUUACGGGCUGAAGCACCAGUUUGUGCAGUUUCUGCGUCAGUUCCAGUUUUACGCUGCCCAUUUUGUGCUGGAGCCGCUGUGGAGUCGCCUCAUCGCGCGCAUCGGUCAGGCAGACAGCGUUUUCGCCAUCUCGCAGGCGCUCACGGACUUCUUCGACGGCGUGGAGACGGGCUUGGUUCUCUCCAGCACUCAGCGCUUCCGCAGUCUGGCACACAUUCUCGAGCUAACGGAACGUUUCUGCGCGGUAGGGAUGCACAGCAGUACAGCGACAAUGCCGCUGAUUGAAGCAACGCUGCAUUCUGUCGAGGACCAAUUUCUGCGUGCGCUGUCGGAGCUUGCCUCGCCGAUCGGACCUGACUACCCGCAGUUGGUGCCGCUGCUGACAUGGAUCGACUUUAGCCGCUUCUACGACCAGAACAACGUUUAUCAUGUUCAGCACGGCGCAGCAAGCUCUGCAGCAGGUCGUAGUAUGUAAGGGCGCCGUGGGUUCAAGGGUGUGGAAGCAACCGGGGCGGCGAGUGUGUGGGAGUUGUGGGCAGCAGUGACCGGGCUACACCUGUGCAGCAUCGCAGCCGCUUGCCCUGACGCUGCUUGACCCUUUUAGCUGCGCCGUUCUCUUUUCCCGCCUCUUCUUUGCUGUGACUAAUGUAGAACGGGGCGACGAACGAAGAGCAACAAUGCCGGAUGUGUCCCUCGGUUUGUUCUUUGUGAAGGAAGGGUAGGGGGAGGGGUUUGCUCUACGGCAGAUUGAUGCAUAGAACAAGCUGAACCCUAAAACGGAUGAGCACACAUGCUGCGCUUUCUCAGACGCGUUUUAGCUGCCUGCUUGCCCCACACGAGAGACGUGCACGGGUGGGGGAUGCGAUGAUGCGGUGCAUCAGUCGUUUUUUGCACAGAGAUAGCGAGGCUGGGGAGCCGCAAGGCAUGCGGCACGAUGCUUCCACCACGACUUCUUGCACGGGCUGCACACUGUCUGUAUCGAGGGACUUAUGCUCUUGGCCUUUCUCCCCCUCUCAUGCAUGUCGUGCUCGGUUCUCGCAUGCCAGGACGAAUCUCGACCACUGCUGUGCCAAUGCUCCCCUUCUCCUCCCUUUCCCCUCAAACACGUCCUGCGUUCCUUCGCUAG
This 3596-nucleotide unclassified non-coding RNA is filed under the name Leishmania donovani. RNAcentral's name for it is "gene:LdHU3.36.6220(CDS-product:gamma-tubulin_comp lex_subunit_putative)". The record is from RNAcentral. Lineage: Eukaryota; Euglenozoa; Kinetoplastea; Trypanosomatida; Trypanosomatidae.